Molecule: ribosomal RNA, 509 nt
Filed under: uncultured bacterium
Lineage: Bacteria
Description: bacterial SSU rRNA
Rfam family: Bacterial small subunit ribosomal RNA
Source: RNAcentral
CGAACGCUGGCGGCGUGCUUAACACAUGCAAGUCGAACGCGAAAGGGACUUCGGUCCUGAGUAAAGUGGCGCACGGGUGAGUAACGCGUAGAUAACCUGUCUUCAUGUCUGGAAUAAUACGCCGAAAGGGGUACUAAUACCGGAUAUUCUUGCUUUUCGUAAGUUAUGCAAGCAAAGGUGGCCUCUGCAUAUGCUACUGCAUGAAGAGGGGUCUGCGUACCAUUAGCUAGUAGGUGGGGUAAUGGCCUACCUAGGCGACGAUGGUUAGCGGGUCUGAGAGGAUGAUCCGCCACACUGGCACUGGAACACGGGCCAGACUCCUACGGGAGGCAGCAGUGAGGAAUAUUGCGCAAUGGGGGAAACCCUGACGCAGCGACGCCGCGUGAGUGAGGAAAGGCCUUCGGGUCGUAAAGCUCUGUCAAGAGGAAAGAAGUGUACAAUGGCUAAUACCUGUUGUAUUUGACGGUACCUCUAAAGGAAGCACCGGCUAACUCCGUGCCAGCAGCUGC